AACGUAGGAGACAAACGUUAUCCGGAGUUACUGGGCGUAAAGGGCGUGUAGGUGGUUGCGUAAGUCUGGCGUGAAAUUUUUCGGCUUAACCGGGAAAGGUCGUCGGAUACUGCGUAGCUAGAGGACGGUAGAGGCGUGUGGAAUUCCGGGUGUAGUGGUGAAAUGCGUAGAGAUCCGGAGGAACACCAGUGGCGAAGGCGACACGCUGGGCCGUACCUGACACUGAGGCGCGAAAGCUAGGGGAGCAAACGGG
RNAcentral lists this ribosomal RNA (253 nucleotides) under uncultured bacterium. Its description in RNAcentral is "partial 16S ribosomal RNA". It matches the Rfam family "Bacterial small subunit ribosomal RNA", at positions 524 to 776 of the family's 1533-position model. The record is from RNAcentral.